RNAcentral lists this ribosomal RNA (476 nucleotides) under uncultured bacterium. RNAcentral's name for it is "bacterial SSU rRNA". It matches the Rfam family "Bacterial small subunit ribosomal RNA", at positions 26 to 518 of the family's 1533-position model. The record is from RNAcentral.
AGGACGAACGCUGGCGGCGUGCCUAACGCAUGCAAGUCGAGCGAGGAGAUUCCUUCGGGAUGAUCCUAGCGGCGGACGGGUGAGUAACACGUGGGCAACCUGCCUCAUAGAGAGGAAUAGCCUUCCGAAAGGGAGAUUAAUACCUCAUAACAUUGCAGUUUCGCAUGGAACAGCAAUUAAAGGAGUAAUCCGCUAUGAGAUGGGCCCGCGGCGCAUUAGCUAGUUGGUGAGGUAACGGCUCACCAAGGCGACGAUGCGUAGCCGACCUGAGAGGGUGAUCGGCCACAUUGGGACUGAGACACGGCCCAGACUCCUACGGGAGGCAGCAGUGGGGAAUAUUGCACAAUGGGGGAAACCCUGAUGCAAGCAACGCCGCGUGAGUGAUGACGGCCUUCGGGUUGUAAAGCUCUGUCUUCAGGGACGAUAAUGACGGUACCUGAGGAGGAAGCCACGGCUAACUACGUGCCAGCCGCUGC